Molecule: long non-coding RNA, 1804 nt
Organism: Caretta caretta (loggerhead turtle)
Lineage: Eukaryota; Metazoa; Chordata; Testudines; Cheloniidae
Source: RefSeq, a predicted model, not a curated record
CCGCCCCUCCGCGCCUGCAGGCCCCGCCCCUUGCUGCCGGGCGCUGGCCUCCCGCUGGGGCGGUCCCGCGCUCCCCGCCUCGCGCGCUGGCUGCUCGUGAGCCCGGGGCUCGCGCUGGGGGUGCUGCUGCCGCGCGCGUGGCGCCCCAAGGAGCAGGGAGGAUGAAAGCAGGCAGGUGCUGGAUGAGUAACCAGCCAACUCUCUCUCCUCUGUGGUUCAGCAGGCAAGGACUUGGAAAGAGAUCUAGCAUGCUGAGGGAUUGUUUGGGGCGAGGCAAGGAAGUUUCCAGGAGCCGCUGUGAGAAGCAGACUGUCUCUUUCUCAGAGCUGAGCGGAAGAAAGAAGGUUGCUUAGUGCUAGAAAGUAGCAGCUGUUUGCAGAAGCAGUGUUAUCAUCAGAGAAGUAACCUCAUGUGAUGAAGUGACCUUGGACUGCCUGCCCAGCAUUCGGUGGUUCAGAAUGAGUGUGUUUCUGAGACACUCCGGGAUCCCUGUAGCACUCGAAUGGAGCAGCCUUAUCCAAAGAUGGGGCAACCAGAACUGCACGCAGUAUUAAAGAUGUGGGCGUACCAUGGAGUUAUAGAGAGGCAACAUGAUAUUUUCUGUCUUGUUAUUGAUCCCUUUCUUAAUGAUUCCCAACAUUCUGUUCACUUUUUGGACUGCUGCUGCACACUGAGCGGAUGUUUUCAGAGAACUAUCCACAAGGACUCCGAGAUCUCUUUCUUCUGUGGUAACAGCUAAUUCAGACCCCAUCAUUGUGUGUGUAGAGUUGGGAUGAUGUUUUCCAAUGGGCCUUACUUCUCACUUAUCAACACUGAAUUUCAUUUGUCAUUUUGUUGCCCACUUGCCCCAGUUUUGUGAGAUUCCCCUCGUAGCUCUUGGCAAUCAGCUUUGGGCUUAACUAUUUUGAGUAGUUUUGUAUCAUCUGCACAUUUUGCCACCUCACUUCAUUCCCUUUUCCAGAUCAUUUAGGAGUAUGUUGAACAGCACACAGGUCCCCGUAAAGAUCCUUAGAAGGCCCACUAUUUACCUCUUUCCACUGUGAAAACUGACCAUUUACUCCUACCUUUUAACCAUUUACUGAUCCAUGAGACGAAAAGUUUGAUUGCUUACUUUGCUUUAAGAGCCUUUGUUGAGGUACUUUGUUAAAGGUUUUCUGAAAGUCCAAGUACACUAUAUCAACUGGAUCCCCCUUGUCCAUAUGCUUAUCGACACCCUCAAAGAAUUCGAAUAGAUUGGUGAGGCAUGAUUUCCCUUUACAAAAGCCACCAUAUCUUCUCAAUAUGGCUGAUAAUUCUGUUCUCGAGUACAGUUUCAACCAGUUUGCCUGGUACUGAACUUACGUUUACCAACCUGUAAUUGCCAGGAUCACAUCUGAAGGCUUUUUUAAAAAUCGGUGUCACAUUAACUACCCUCCAGUCAUCUGGUACAGAGGGUGAUUUAAGCAAUAGGUUACAUACCACAGUUAGGAGUUCUGCAAUUUCAUAUUUGAGUUUUCAAAACUCUUGGAUGAAUACCAUCUGGUCCUGGUGACUUACUACUGUUUAAUUUAUCAAUUUAUUCCAACACUUCCUCUAUUUACACCUCAAUCUGGGACAACAGUUCCUCAGAUUUAUCACCUAAAAAGACUGGUUCAGAUGUGGGAAUCUCCCUCAUAUCCUCUGAAGUGAUGACCGAUGGAAAGGAUUUGUUUACCUUCUCUGCAACAGCCUUGUCUUCCUUGAGUGCUCCCAUGGCCCCAAUAAUUGUUAUCAGGCUUCCUGCUUCUGAUGUACUAUAAAAAUAAAUAAAUAAAUAAAAAUAUUA